This is a long non-coding RNA of Austrofundulus limnaeus, 746 nucleotides long. RefSeq lists it as uncharacterized. The transcript is spliced from 2 exons. The record is from RefSeq and is a predicted model, not a curated record. Lineage: Eukaryota; Metazoa; Chordata; Actinopteri; Cyprinodontiformes; Rivulidae.
ACGCAAUGAGAUCCGUGCAGCUCUGCCAGCUGAGCCGAAGCAGCGGAGCGGCUGCUGGAUGGAUGUUUGGCUGCUUUUUCCCUGCAGACUGCAGAAAUUAGCAGAACACUCACCUGCCCGCCUCGUCUCGGUGUUCUAACAGGACUCAGAGCACUGAACCAUCUGCUUCCAGGUGAUAAUAUCAUCAGGAGGUGAACACCAGGGACAACACCCAGAGAGAGAGAGAGAGUGAAGCAAACAGAGAGCAGGAUCUGCUCAAACCCAGACUCGUUCAUGAAUCUCUGCAACAAUCCUGGAUGUUUYGUAGCCGUCCAGAGCCGGAGCACAGGAUGACCUCCAAAUUAAAAACCCAACUCAUCACGUCAGACGGCCUGAAUUAUUCAUGAAGCCGGUCUGCUCGGUAUUACUGCCAGGAGGAAGGUGCAAUUACAUUUCCCUCAGGAGCUGCAGACACGAGAAGAAAAGGAGAAGCAGAAAGGAAAACACCGUCUGGUAAAAAAUAGAUGAAGUUUGUUGCCCCGUCUGGGGAAAAGAUUUGAUCGUUCUUCUGUAAUUAUUCAGUUGUUUUCUCAACGACAGCUCAGCCGAACGGAGCUCGGCUGGAUGAGAGGUUAAUUAGAGCCGAUUGAAUGUUUUUUAUUCUCAAACUUUCUGCUCCAAAUGUUUGGCUGCAGCUGUCAGGAACAAACUCUGUUUUAUUUGUUUGUCUAAUUAUUCAAUUUGAAAUAAAUUUAUUUUCCUCAGUA